RNAcentral lists this ribosomal RNA (975 nucleotides) under Triticum aestivum (bread wheat). RNAcentral describes it as "partial small subunit ribosomal RNA". The record is from RNAcentral. Lineage: Eukaryota; Viridiplantae; Streptophyta; Magnoliopsida; Poales; Poaceae.
CUUAACGGUACGGAAGUCGAAAGCGAUGUUCAAGUAUACGACGAGGAAAAGUCCACUGAAACAUACACUAAAGAUGAAGAUUUUUAAUCUUUUAUGGAAGUCUAGUUUCGUCGCCUAAACAUCUAAAGACCCAUAACCACGAUGAGGUAGAGGUAGGUCGAAUGCCAGAAACCAGUGACUAAGAUUCCCCUGCUAGUCCUAAUGCUACUCCCGCUCUGCAACUUCGACCGCAGCCGUUGAAACUGGCGUUGGCGCUGGAAUUGUAGCUGGUACCCUCGCUCCGCAGUCGGGAACUGUAUCUGGCACAACCGGGGAACACAAAGACUGGUCGGCGCGAGGCCAAGGCCGUCGAGGGUAAGGUCAGCUAGGGAAGGUCCUCGGAAGUCUAGCGAUUACUAUGAUUCUAACGUACUCAGGUACUUCGUUCGUUAUUAGAUAGAGUUUUAUAACACAGGUUCGUAUAUUGCCAAGUAGUUAAAAGCUUUACUCUGAUAACGAUACAUCGUGCGACCGUUCUGUUCUCUUAUUAAGAACGUAUACAGACUCGAUACGGCGGAGGGUGGUUUGAGCUCGAGCCGCGAGAGCGUACGUUCCGAUUCGAUAGAGGUGGCUGAGGAAAAAGACAGGCUCGAGGAGGGAUGGGACCGUUUUGGUUUACGAUGUUAGAGGAAAAAAACCCUAAGAUUUUGAAUACAGUCAAGUGACAGUACCUAUCUAAUCACUAUUACUCCAAUCCUAGUGAUGUAACCUCUCCUACUCCUCGAUAUGACCGAUGCUCUACAACGAACUCGUAAAGGUCGUCACCGUCAUCUGUGUACACCGUCGUGAAGACCCAUCUAAAACAGGUAAAUGAAAAACAUAGGAAACUUAAACUUAUAAGACACGUUAACUCAGAUUUAGACGAGUUUAAUUAGAACAUGUGAGACUUAUUUUAAUUACAAAACAUAGAAUGAUUUAAAACAAAACAUUACCUUC